AUGGCGCGCGCGUUCGGCGUCGGCGCUGCGGUGCUCGUCGUCGUGUCGGCCUUCUUCGCGCCGGCACUAGUGACGGCGCAGACCGGCAGCUGCGACGACCCGCUGCCGACCGAGCUCUACGCGCAGGGCGGGGACAACGUGCUGCGGGUGGUGCUCUCGGCGAUGUACAGCUCCGGGUGGGUGGGGAUGGCCUUCUCCAAGGACGGCCUCAUGGUGGGCUCGAGCGCCAUGGUCGGGUGGGUCGGCAAGAAGGGGCAAGCCCACGUCAAGCAGUUUGCCCUCAACGGCAAGGCGCCCUCCAUGGUCGUCGCCGACAGGGGCUUCCUCGUCUCCAACGGCCACGCCCACACCGUCCUCGUCAAGCAGGCCAAGAUCUACCUCGCCUUCCAGCUCAACUUCGACUCGCAGCUCAAGAAGCAGCAGGUGCCCUUCGCCUUCGGCUCUGCCAUCCCUGUCAACGACCGCCUAGCCGAGCACCAGGGCAAGACGUCCAUCACCUUUGAUUUCACCACAGGCAGCUCUUCAGGCUCCUCCUUCCCGAGUGGCCUAAAAAGGACUCAUGGGGCACUCAACCUGUUCGCUUGGGGUGUCCUCCUGCCUAUCGGUGCCAUUAUCGCUCGGUACUGCAGGGGUUGGGACCCUCUGUGGUUCUACCUUCAUGGCGGCAUUCAGUUCGUCGGCUUCAUCCUCGGUCUGGCCGGCGUUGUGGCUGGAGUAUCACUCUACGGCAAGAUCCAAGCAGAUGUUCCAGCACAUAGAGGCCUUGGCAUAUUUGUGCUUGUGCUUGGUAUCCUCCAGAUUCUUGCAUUCUUCCUACGGCCCAACAAAGACUCGAAGUACCGGAAAUACUGGAACUGGUAUCACCAUUGGGUAGGCAGGCUUGUGCUCUUCUUUGCAGCAGUCAACAUUGUCUUGGGAAUCAAAGUUGGAGGCGCUGGUAACCCCUGGAAGAUCGGCUAUGGGUUUAGCCUGGCCAUCCUUCUGAUCACCAUUAUCACCCUGGAAGUCCUGGUGUGGACAAGGAGGAAAAACAACAGCGGUGCUACGACGACAUACUAA
RNAcentral lists this ribosomal RNA (1059 nucleotides) under Triticum aestivum (bread wheat). RNAcentral's name for it is "partial small subunit ribosomal RNA". Lineage: Eukaryota; Viridiplantae; Streptophyta; Magnoliopsida; Poales; Poaceae. The record is from RNAcentral.